GACGAACGCUGGCGGCGUGCUUAACACAUGCAAGUCGAACGGAAAGGCCCUGCUUUUGUGGGUUGCUCGAGUGGCGAACGGGUGAGUAACACGUGAGUAACCUGCCCUUGUCUUUGGGAUAACUUCAGGAAACUGGGGCUAAUACCGGAUAGGAGCUCCUGCUGCAUGGUGGGGGUUGGAAAGUUUCGGCGGUUGGGGAUGGACUCGCGGCUUAUCAGCUUGUUGGUGGGGUAGUGGCUUACCAAGCCUUUGACGGGUAGCCGGCCUGAGAGGGUGACCGGCCACAUUGGGACUGAGAUACGGCCCAGACUCCUACGGGAGGCAGCAGUGGGGAAUAUUGCACAAUGGGCGGAAGCCUGAUGCAGCAACGCCGCGUGCGGGAUGACGGCCUUCGGGUUGUAAACCGCUUUCGCCUGUGACGAAGCGUGAGUGACGGUAAUGGGUAAAGAAGCACCGGCUAACUACGUG
RNAcentral lists this ribosomal RNA (468 nucleotides) under uncultured bacterium. RNAcentral's name for it is "partial 16S ribosomal RNA". It matches the Rfam family "Bacterial small subunit ribosomal RNA", at positions 28 to 507 of the family's 1533-position model. The record is from RNAcentral.